RNAcentral lists this unclassified non-coding RNA (515 nucleotides) under uncultured Glomus. Its description in RNAcentral is "SSU rRNA". It matches the Rfam family "Eukaryotic small subunit ribosomal RNA", at positions 569 to 1088 of the family's 1831-position model. Lineage: Eukaryota; Fungi; Glomeromycota; Glomeromycetes; Glomerales; Glomeraceae. The record is from RNAcentral.
AGCAGCCGCGGUAAUUCCAGCUCCAAUAGCGUAUAUUAAAGUUGUUGCAGUUAAAAGCUCGUAGUUGAAUUUCGGGGUUAGUAGGUUGGUCAUGCCUCUGGUAUGUACUGGUCUCACUGAUUCCUCCUUCCUGAUGAGCCGUAAUGCCAUUAAUUUGGUGUUGCGAGGAGUUUGGACUGUUACUUUGAAAAAUUGAGUGUUUAAAGCAAGCUAACGCUUGAAUACAUUAGCAUGGAAUAAUGAAAUAGGACGUUCGAUCCUAUUUUGUUGGUUUCUAGGAUUGACGUAAUGAUUAAUAGGGAUAGUUGGGGGCAUUAGUAUUCAAUUGUCAGAGGUGAAACUCUUGGAUUUAUUGAAGACUAACUACUGCGAAAGCAUUUGCCAAGGAUGUUUUCAUUAAUCAAGAACGAAAGUUAGGGAUCGAAGACGAUCAGAUACCGUCGUAGUCUUAGCCAUAAACUAUGCCGACUAGGGAUCGGAUGAUGUUAAUUUUUUAAUGUACUCAUUCGGUACCG